This 72-nucleotide transfer RNA is filed under the name Camelus bactrianus (Bactrian camel). It matches the Rfam family "tRNA". From Rfam's summary of the family: Transfer RNA (tRNA) molecules are approximately 80 nucleotides in length. Their secondary structure includes four short double-helical elements and three loops (D, anti-codon, and T loops). Further hydrogen bonds mediate the characteristic L-shaped molecular structure. tRNAs have two regions of fundamental functional importance: the anti-codon, which is responsible for specific mRNA codon recognition, and the 3' end, to which the tRNAs corresponding amino acid is attached (by aminoacyl-tRNA synthetases). tRNAs cope with the degeneracy of the genetic code in two manners: having more than one tRNA (with a specific anti-codon) for a particular amino acid; and 'wobble' base-pairing, i.e. permitting non-standard base-pairing at the 3rd anti-codon position. Lineage: Eukaryota; Metazoa; Chordata; Mammalia; Artiodactyla; Camelidae. RNAcentral also lists the same sequence under 2 other names. The record is from Rfam by way of RNAcentral.
GGGGGUAUAGCUCAGUUGUAGAGUGUGCGCUUGGCAUGCACAAGGUUCUGAGUUCAAUCCUCAGUGCCUCCA